This 1068-nucleotide ribosomal RNA is filed under the name Pseudoalteromonas sp. RNAcentral's name for it is "bacterial SSU rRNA". It matches the Rfam family "Bacterial small subunit ribosomal RNA", at positions 56 to 1122 of the family's 1533-position model. Lineage: Bacteria; Pseudomonadati; Pseudomonadota; Gammaproteobacteria; Alteromonadales; Pseudoalteromonadaceae. The record is from RNAcentral.
UGCAAGUCGAGCGGUACAUUUCUAGCUUGCUAGAAGAUGACGAGCGGCGGACGGGUGAGUAAUGCUUGGGAACAUGCCUUUAGGUGGGGGACAACCAUUGGAAACGAUGGCUAAUACCGCAUAAUGUCUACGGACCAAAGGGGGCUUCGGCUCUCGCCUUUAGAUUGGCCCAAGUGGGAUUAGCUAGUUGGUGAGGUAACGGCUCACCAAGGCGACGAUCCCUAGCUGGUUUGAGAGGAUGAUCAGCCACACUGGAACUGAGACACGGUCCAGACUCCUACGGGAGGCAGCAGUGGGGAAUAUUGCACAAUGGGCGCAAGCCUGAUGCAGCCAUGCCGCGUGUGUGAAGAAGGCCUUCGGGUUGUAAAGCACUUUCAGUCAGGAGGAAAGGUUAGUAGUUAAUACCUGCUAGCUGUGACGUUACUGACAGAAGAAGCACCGGCUAACUCCGUGCCAGCAGCCGCGGUAAUACGGAGGGUGCGAGCGUUAAUCGGAAUUACUGGGCGUAAAGCGUACGCAGGCGGUUGAUUAAGCGAGAUGUGAAAGCCCCGGGCUUAACCUGGGAACUGCAUUUCGAACUGGUCAACUAGAGUGUGAUAGAGGGUGGUAGAAUUUCAGGUGUAGCGGUGAAAUGCGUAGAGAUCUGAAGGAAUACCGAUGGCGAAGGCAGCCACCUGGGUCAACACUGACGCUCAUGUACGAAAGCGUGGGGAGCAAACAGGAUUAGAUACCCUGGUAGUCCACGCCGUAAACGAUGUCUACUAGGAGCUGGGGUCUUCGGACAACUUUUCCAAAGCUAACGCAUUAAGUAGACCGCCUGGGGAGUACGGCCGCAAGGUUAAAACUCAAAUGAAUUGACGGGGGCCCGCACAAGCGGUGGAGCAUGUGGUUUAAUUCGAUGCAACGCGAAGAACCUUACCUACACUUGACAUACAGAGAACUUACCAGAGAUGGUUUGGUGCCUUCGGGAACUCUGAUACAGGUGCUGCAUGGCUGUCGUCAGCUCGUGUUGUGAAGAUGUUGGGUUAAGUCCCGCAACGAGCGCAACCCUUAUCCUUAGUUGCCAGC